This 2804-nucleotide ribosomal RNA is filed under the name Arabidopsis thaliana (thale cress). RNAcentral describes it as "bacterial LSU rRNA". It matches the Rfam family "Bacterial large subunit ribosomal RNA". The record is from RNAcentral. Lineage: Eukaryota; Viridiplantae; Streptophyta; Magnoliopsida; Brassicales; Brassicaceae.
UCAAACGAGAAAGGCUUACGGUGGAUACCUAAGGCACCCAAGACGAGAAGGGCGUAAGUAAGCGACGAAAUGCUUCAGGAGUUGAAAAUAAGCGGCGAUCCGGAGAUUCCCAGAAUAAGUUAACACGAACUGCUGCUGAAUCCAUGGGCAGGCAAAAAGACAACCUGGCACUGAAACAUCUUAGUAGCAAGGAAAAGCAAAGCGAUUCCCGUAGUAGCGGCGGGCGAAAUGGGAGCAACCUAAGCCGUGAAAACGGGGUUGUGGAAGCAAAAGCGUCGUGCUGCUAGGCGAAGCGGUGGGUGCCACACCUGAUGGCGAAGUCCAGUGGCCAGAAAGCAUCAUGCUCUGACCGAGUAGCAUGGGGCACGGCGUGGAAUCCGUGUGAUCGCAGGGACCACCUUGCAGGCUAAAUACUCCUGGGUGACCGAUGGCGAAAAUGGUACCGUGAAGGGUGAAAAGAACCCCAGGGUGAAAUAGAACGCAACCGUAAGCUCCCAAGCAGUGGGACGCCUGAAUGCGACGCGUGCCUGUUGAAAAAUAGGCCGGCGACUCAACGGUGUGCUUGGUUGGGAACCCACCGGAGCCGUGAAAGCGAGUCUUCAUGAGCAAUUGUCACUGCUUAUGGACCCGAACCUGGGUGAUCUAUCUAUGACCAGGAUGACCGGUGAAACUAAGUGGGGUCGAACCGACGGUUGAAAAUCAGCGGAUGAGUUGUGGUUGGGCAAAUGCCCUCGAACAGAGCUGGCUGGUUUCCCGAAAUGCGGUGAGCGCAGCAGUUGACUGGACAUCAGGGGUAAAGCACUGUUUCGGUGCGGGCCGCGAAACAGUACAAAUCGAGCAAACUCUGAAUACUGAAUGACCUCAAAUAACUUGAGAUUAAGGUCUGGCCAGUGGACGGUGGGGAUCGCUUCAUCGUCGGAAACGACCCGGAUCACCAGCUAAGGCCCUAAAUGACCGCUCAGUGAUAAAGUAGGGAAUUUAGAAGACAGCAGGAGGUUUGCUAAACGACCACCCUUGAAAGUGCGUAAUAGCUCUCACUGAUCGAGCGCUCUUGCGCCGAUGAUGAACGGGGCUAAGCAAUCUGCCGAAGCGCUGUGGGAUGUCAAAAUGCAUCGGUAGGAGCGUUCCGCUAGGGAAACAACCGCGCGAGCGGCAGUGGACAAGCAGAGCAGAAUGUCGGCAAUGCCGCAAACAUUGGUGAGAAUCAAUGCCCGAAAACCCAAGGUUCCUCGCAAGGUUCGUCCACGGAAGGUGAGUCAGGGCUAAGAUCAGGCCGAAGGCGUAGUCGAUGGACAACAGACGAAUAUUCCUGUACUACCCUUGUUGGUCCCGAGGACGGAAAGAGCUGGGUUAGCCGAAGAUGUAUCGGUUCAGGACGCAAGGUGUCCCUGUUUUCAGGAUUGAGAAAGGGUGAAAAUGCCCAGGCCAAUGUUCAGUACCAGGCGCUACGGCGCUGGAGUAACCCUGCUAUACUCCCAGGAAAAGCUCGAACGACCUUCAACAAAGGGUACCUGUACCGAAACCGACACCAGGUGGGUGGUGAGAAUACCUAGGGCGCGAGACAACUCUCUAAGAACUCGGCAAAAUAGCCCCGUAACUUCGGGAAGGGUGCCUCCUCACAAGGGGUCGCAGUGACCAGGCCCGCGACUGUUGCCAAAACACAGGUCUCCUGAGUCGGUAAGACCAUGUAUGGGGCUGACGCCUGCCCAGUGCCAGGUUAAAGUUGGUGACCUGAUGACGGGGCCGGCGGCCAAGCCCCGGUGAACGGCAGCCGUAACUAUAACGGUCUAAGGUAGAAAUUCCUUGUCGGGUAAGUUCCGACCCGCACGAAAGGCGUAACGAUCUGGGCACUGUCUCGGAGAGGCUCGGUGAAAUAGACAUGUCUGUGAUGCGGACUACCUGCACCUGGACGAAAGACCUAUGGCUUCACUGUUCCUGGGAUUGGCUUUGGGCUUUUCCUGCGCAGCUUAGGUGGAAGGCGAAGGCCCCUUCAGGGGCCGAACCCAUCAGUGAGAUACCACUCUGGAAAGCUAAAUUCUAACCUUGUGUCAGGACCUACGGCCAAGGACAGUCUCAGGUGGACAGUUUCUAUGGGGCGUAGGCCUCCCAAAAGGUAACAGGCGUGCAAAAGGUUUCCUCGGGCGGACGGAGAUUGGCCCUCAGUGCAAGACGAAGAAGGGCUUGACUGCAAGACCCACCGUCGAGCAGGGACGAAAGUCGGCCUUAGUGAUCCGACGGUGCCAGUGGAAGGCCGUCGCUCAACGGAUAAAGUUACUCUGGGAUAACAGGCUGAUCUUCCCAAAGCUCACAUCGACAGGAAGGUUUGGCACCUCGAUGUCGGCUCUUCGCCACCUGGGGUAUGUAGUAUGUUCAAGGUUGGGCUGUUCGCCCAUUAAAGCGUACGUGAGCUGGGUUCAGAACGUCGUGAGACAGUUCGGUCCAUAUCCGGUGUGGGCGUUAGAGCAUUGAAGGGACCUUCCCUAGUACGGAGGACGGGAAGGACGCACCUCUGGUGUACCAGUUAUCGUGCCCACAGUAAACGCUGGGUAGCCAAGUGCGGGCAGAUAACUGCUGAAAGCAUCACAAGUAAUAAGCCCACCCCAAGAUGAGUGCUCUCUAUUCCGACUUCCCAGAGCCUCCGGUACUUUAGCCAGGAACAGGUUUCUCCGCCCUGCGUAAUGGGUGACAAGUUUGAAAUUCAAGAAGGUCACGUGAGACGAGGCGUUUAUCAUUACGAUGGGUGUCAAGUGGAGGUGCGGUGAUGUAUGCGGCUGGGCAUCUAACAGACCGGUGAACUUGAACCU